This 600-nucleotide long non-coding RNA is filed under the name Prunus persica (peach). RNAcentral's name for it is "long non-coding RNA (PPER_LNC008659)". Lineage: Eukaryota; Viridiplantae; Streptophyta; Magnoliopsida; Rosales; Rosaceae. The record is from RNAcentral.
ACGGGUAUUGUUGAAUCAGUUUAGUUUUCUUGACACAUGAUUUGGCAGAUACUUUGUGUCCAUUCGAAUCCUCAAUCUCUAAUGUGAACUCUCAUACUUUUUCCAAUGAAAUUGGACACUCCUAGCCUUUGAUGUUGCCAACCAUAGCUUACGAUACAGACGGGUAUUGUUGAAUCAGUUUAGUUUUCUUGAUUCAUGUUUUGGCAGACAUUUUGUGUCCAUUCGAUUCCUCAAUCUCUAAUGUGAACUCUCAUACUUUUUCCAAUCAAAUUGGACACUCCUAGCCUUUGAUGUUGCCAACCCUAGCUUACGAUACAGACGGGUAUUGUUGAAUCAGUUUAGUUUUCUUGACACAUGUUUUGGCAGAUACUUUGUGUCCAUUCGAAUCCUCAAUCUCUAAUGUGAACUCUCAUACUUUUUCCAAUCAAAUUGGACACUCCUAGCCUUUUAUGUGGCCAACCCUAGCUCACGCUACAGACAAGUGUUGUUGAAUCAGUUUAGUUUUCUUGACUCAUGUUUUGGCAGAUAUUUUGUGUCCAUUCGAAUCCUCAAUAUCUAAUGUGAAGCCUCAUACUUUUUCCACUCAAACUGGAAACUUCU